AUUCGUAUCACUUAAUUUUUUAUAUAUUUAAUCAUCUUUUAAUUGUUUCGGCAUCAACCGGACCAUUCCUCUCUAUUAUGGUCAUGUGCAAUGGAGUGGUGCCUUUCAGGCUGACACUAGUUUAGAUGAACUUUGGAUCUUAUCGUUAUUUGUUUAGAGCUCCACUUGAAUUUAGUUGGAAGUCGAUCUGGGGACCAUUUAUUUGGCAAUAAUGGCGUCCUUGCUUUUGGCCCAGUCGAUCUGAAUGGUGUGUCAAACUUCUCUACCGUUCAUCUUGGGAUGCCCACCAUUACUGUUACUACUAGUUAAUGUAGGCUUUAGAAAGAAGAAAAAGAGAUGUUCCAAGACCCUAAAAGCUUCUCUCCCAUCUCUGUCUCCCUGCAAAACUACCAGUACGAAACAAGUAAGAAGGUCUUUGAAGACUAAGCAUUCAGAAGAUAUAUAGAAAAUAUGGAGAGAAAUGUAUUUUUUUUCUUCUGCAGCCCAGUUGUCCUUGUUGAAUAUAUUAACCUAUCUUUGAAAAAUCACUUUCUAUAUUGUUAUGUGUAAUGUCCUCUCAUCGAUUAUAUGUAUGUUGAAUUUUCUUGUUUUCUUUUUGGCAUA
Molecule: long non-coding RNA, 603 nt
Organism: Mangifera indica (mango)
Lineage: Eukaryota; Viridiplantae; Streptophyta; Magnoliopsida; Sapindales; Anacardiaceae
Exons: 4
Source: RefSeq, a predicted model, not a curated record